CCUACGGGAUGCAGCAGUGGGGAAUCUUGCGCAAUGGGCGAAAGCCUGACGCAGCCACGCCGCGUGCGGGAUGAAGGCCCUAGGGUUGUAAACCGCUUUUAACAGGAACGAAAAUGACGGUACCUGUAGAAUAAGGUGCGGCCAACUACGUGCCAGCAGCCGCGGUGACACGUAGGCACCAAGCGUUGUCCGGAUUUAUUGGGCGUAAAGAGCUCGUAGGCGGUUCAGUAAGUCGGGUGUGAAAACUCUGGGCUUAACCCAGAGACGCCACUCGAUACUAUUGUGACUAGAGUUCGGUAGGGGAGCGGGGAAUUCCUAGUGUAGCGGUGAAAUGCGCAGAUAUUAGGAGGAACACCGGUGGCGAAGGCGCCGCUCUGGGCCGAUACUGACGCUGAGGAGCGAAAGCGUGGGUAGCAAACAGGAUUAGAUACCCUGGUAGUCCACGCCGUAAACGGUGGGCACUAGGUGUGGGUUCCAACCAACGGAAUCCGCGCCGUCGCUAACGCAUUAAGUGCCCCGCCUGGGGAGGUACGGCCGCGAAGUAAACGUACAAGAAGUAGACGGCGUGAGACGNGCCGACGGCGACGACGAGGGAGGUAGG
This 601-nucleotide ribosomal RNA is filed under the name uncultured bacterium. RNAcentral's name for it is "bacterial SSU rRNA". The stretch from base 1 to 521 matches the Rfam family "Bacterial small subunit ribosomal RNA", at positions 338 to 873 of the family's 1533-position model. The record is from RNAcentral.